GAUGAACGCUGGCGGCGUGCCUAAUACAUGCAAGUCGAGCGAACAGACGAGGAGCUUGCUCCUCUGACGUUAGCGGCGGACGGGUGAGUCACACGUGGAUAACCUACCUAUAAGACUGGGAUAACUUCGGGAAACCGGUGCUAAUACCGGAUAAUAUAUUGAACCGCAUGGUUCAAUAGUGAAAGACGGUUUUGCUGUCACUUAUAGAUGGAUCCGCGCCGCAUUAGCUAGUUGGUAAGGUAACGGCUUACCAAGGCGACGAUGCGUAGCCGACCUGAGAGGGUGAUCCGCCACACUGGAACUGAGACACGGUCCAGACUCCUACGGGAGGCAGCAGUAGGGAAUCUUCCGCAAUGGGCGAAAGCCUGACGGAGCAACGCCGCGUGAGUGAUGAAGGUCUUCGGAUCGUAAAACUCUGUUAUUAGGGAAGAACAAAUGUGUAAGUAACUAUGCACGUCUUGACGGUACCUAAUCAGAAAGCCACGGCUAACUACGUG
This 497-nucleotide ribosomal RNA is filed under the name uncultured bacterium. RNAcentral's name for it is "partial 16S ribosomal RNA". It matches the Rfam family "Bacterial small subunit ribosomal RNA", at positions 28 to 507 of the family's 1533-position model. The record is from RNAcentral.